UGACGCUGAGGCACGAAAGUGUGGGUAUCAAACAGGAUUAGAUACCCUGGUAGUCCAC
RNAcentral lists this ribosomal RNA (58 nucleotides) under uncultured bacterium. Its description in RNAcentral is "partial 16S ribosomal RNA". It matches the Rfam family "Bacterial small subunit ribosomal RNA", at positions 741 to 798 of the family's 1533-position model. The record is from RNAcentral.